Molecule: long non-coding RNA, 1344 nt
Organism: Clupea harengus (Atlantic herring)
Lineage: Eukaryota; Metazoa; Chordata; Actinopteri; Clupeiformes; Clupeidae
Source: Ensembl
GCAAACCUUUCCCCCUAGUCUUUGGCUGACAUUCUAAACUUAGCUGUUAGACAAGAACAAUCUUGAAUUGCUCAAAAUACACAUGCAACACACUCACACUCACACUCCCACACACACACGCACACACACACACAUACAUACAUAUUUAUACACACACAAACUCACACUCACACACACAUUUUAAUGACUAAGACAGACUGUGGACCCUGGAAACAAAAGAGGGAAGGAAUUGAAAGAGGACGGUAAAAAGGAAAGAAUGAUGAAGAGUGAUGAAGUGUGUAGAGUCAUCUUGUGGGACUGAUCUCAGGCAAGAGGUUGUGAGAGCUGCUAAGAUGAACCAAGCUGUGUAAGAUGAGGACAAUGUUCUGUCUGGAGUCAGCCGAAUCAAUCCUCAUCACCAUUCAGCCCACCGAACCGGAUUGGUCUUCCUGGGAGUCCGACCCAGGCUCCGAGGCAGCCUCUGCCCUCCCCGACUCAGGAGAGACGUCUCCCCCCCUUUGGCAGAGAGCUUCAAACGGAGCAGCUGGGAGAGGUCUGUGGGGAGUCAGGAGGAUUGAGGGCUAUUUCUGAUCAACACAGCAUUACAUACACUGCUGGGCAAGGGAAGAGACCAAAAUACUCGGUGUGAUGCGGGAAAGCAUUUGAUUCUGUUUGGAUUAAAGAGGUACAUUCUCCACAAGUGGGGGAGUCUUACUGUCUUUCACGUGUUCUCUUAUAGAAAACCCCUAGAAAAGGAAGCUUGUGUGUGUGUGAAUAUGAGAGUGAGAGAGACACAUGAGUAUGAAUGAGAGAUAGAAUGUGUUUGUGUGAGAGAAUAACAUCUGUGACGGGAAGACGUGUGUGUGUGUGUGUGUGUGUGUGUGUGUGUGUGUGUGUGUGUGUGUGUGUGUGUGUGAGGGAGAGAGAGAGAGAGAAAGAGAGAAACGGGGGGGGGGGGGGCAGAGAGCGAGAACCCAAUGUAAGGAAAACAUGAGUAAAAAUGGUAUGUAUGAGCAUCUGCACACAUGUACUGUACUUCACUGCAUGUGUGCUUCAGACUGAAGGGUCCUGGCUUGCUCUGGGCUUGUUUGGGCCCUGGCUUUAUUGCCCAGGAGACGUGAACAGACCAGACGCUGCUUGCGUUCAUUUCACUUCACAGUAGAGGGGAGAUAAAUCACUUGCCUGACAACAGUCAAUCUCUCCACCAUACCCGCUGUUAGAACCUGGCUUCCUAUGCACAAGUCUGGACAGCUCUGGAACAGGCCUGUGCUAAGGCACAAGAAAGACAACACGGUGAAGAUUGCGCAUAUACUGCUGACGUUGUUGGAGAAGUUGGAUCUCCAUGCUGGAGAUGAUAUAAGUGAA